AUUGAACGCUGGCGGCAGGCUUAACACAUGCAAGUCCAGCGGGGGAAGGUAGCUUGCUACUGGACCUAGCGGCGGACGGGUGAGUAAUGCUUAGGAAUCUGCCUAUUAGUGGGGGACAACAUCUCGAAAGGGAUGCUAAUACCGCAUACGUCCUACGGGAGAAAGUAGGGGAUCUUCGGACCUCGCGCUAAUAGAUGAACCUAAGUCGGAUUAGCUAGUUGGUGGGGUAAAGGCCUACCAAGGCGACGAUCUGUAGCGGGUCUGAGAGGAUGAUCCGCCACACUGGGACUGAGACACGGCCCAGACUCCUACGGGAGGCAGCAGUGGGGAAUAUUGGACAAUGGGGGGAACCCUGAUCCAGCCAUGCCGCGUGUGUGAAGAAGGCCUUAUGGUUGUAAAGCACUUUAAGCGAGGAGGAGGCUACUUUAGUUAAUACCUAGAGAUAGUGGACGUUACUCGCAGAAUAAGCACCGGCUAACUCUGUGCCAGCCGCCGCGGUAA
Molecule: ribosomal RNA, 501 nt
Filed under: uncultured bacterium
Lineage: Bacteria
Description: partial 16S ribosomal RNA
Rfam family: Bacterial small subunit ribosomal RNA
Source: RNAcentral